Molecule: ribosomal RNA, 371 nt
Filed under: Fustifusus pinicola
Lineage: Eukaryota; Metazoa; Mollusca; Gastropoda; Neogastropoda; Columbariidae
Description: partial 12S ribosomal RNA
Source: RNAcentral
UCUUGGCCAUAAAUUUAAUAAAAUUUACCAGAGUACUACGAAUACAAAAUUUAAAACUCAAAGGGCUUGGCGGUGUUUUAGACUCCUCAGGGGAACUUGUCUUAUAAUCGACAGUCCACGUUAAACCUAACCUUUUUUUGUGCGCAGUUUGUAUACCGUCGUCGUCAGGUAACUUCUAAGAAGCCAGAAGUUAGCAAUUUAAAUGUUGUUUAUUAGGACGUCAGAUCAAGGUGCAGCCCAUAAAAAGGAAAAGAUGAGUUACAAUUAUUAAACUUAUAAUGACGGAUAGUUAAUCAAAUGAUUGAUUAUGAAGGCGGACUUGAAAGUAAAAUAAAUUAUAUAAAUAAUUUGAAUAAAGCUCUGAAGCGUGC